RNAcentral lists this unclassified non-coding RNA (307 nucleotides) under Hevea brasiliensis (rubber tree). The record is from RNAcentral. Lineage: Eukaryota; Viridiplantae; Streptophyta; Magnoliopsida; Malpighiales; Euphorbiaceae.
UCCUGUGGUAACCUUUACGGCUGAACAAACAAAGGAAGCAUUUGAUGUGGCAAGAAAUAGCAUUGAACUUCUCACAACAGUGUUGUCCUCCUCCCCUGAACAUGAUGUUUUGAAGGACGAUUUGACAACUACACUCAUUCAGCAGUGUCGUCGAUCUCAAUCGACCGUGCAGAGAAUCAUUGAGACAGCAGGAGAUAAUGAAGCUCUGCUUUUUGAAGCCUUGAAUGUGAAUGAUGAGAUUCAGAAAGUUCUCUCCAAGUAUGAAGAGUUGAAGAAGCCAUCAGUUGUUUCUUCUGAGCCUGAGCCU